RNAcentral lists this transfer RNA (76 nucleotides) under Bacteriovoracaceae bacterium. RNAcentral's name for it is "tRNA-Val". It matches the Rfam family "tRNA". From Rfam's summary of the family: Transfer RNA (tRNA) molecules are approximately 80 nucleotides in length. Their secondary structure includes four short double-helical elements and three loops (D, anti-codon, and T loops). Further hydrogen bonds mediate the characteristic L-shaped molecular structure. tRNAs have two regions of fundamental functional importance: the anti-codon, which is responsible for specific mRNA codon recognition, and the 3' end, to which the tRNAs corresponding amino acid is attached (by aminoacyl-tRNA synthetases). tRNAs cope with the degeneracy of the genetic code in two manners: having more than one tRNA (with a specific anti-codon) for a particular amino acid; and 'wobble' base-pairing, i.e. permitting non-standard base-pairing at the 3rd anti-codon position. The record is from RNAcentral. RNAcentral also lists the same sequence under 2 other names. Lineage: Bacteria; Pseudomonadati; Bdellovibrionota; Bacteriovoracia; Bacteriovoracales; Bacteriovoracaceae.
GGGAGUUUAGCUCAGCUGGUAGAGCGCUACCCUUACAAGGUAGAUGCCGGGGGUUCGAGCCCCUCAACUCCCACCA